Small nuclear RNA from Rhipicephalus microplus (southern cattle tick), 193 nucleotides. RefSeq annotates it as U2 spliceosomal RNA. The record is from RefSeq and is a predicted model, not a curated record. NCBI's taxonomy places the organism in Eukaryota, Metazoa, Arthropoda, Arachnida, Ixodida, Ixodidae.
ACUCAUUCACUUACGGCCCAAGAAUUGUGAUGAAAACCAAUCUGUUCUUAUCAGCUUAGUACCUGGUAUGUAUUCUAUUUGUAUCCAAGAUAUUGCACUUAUUUUUGUGAUGCGGCAGAGUGCUUGACGCUUGCUUCACUUCCACCACGGGGUUGCCCGGUGUUGCAUUACACCCGGGAUCGGCCCACUCACC